Molecule: small nuclear RNA, 129 nt
Filed under: Bos mutus (wild yak)
Lineage: Eukaryota; Metazoa; Chordata; Mammalia; Artiodactyla; Bovidae
Description: U4 spliceosomal RNA (ENSBMUG00000015338.1)
Rfam family: U4 spliceosomal RNA
About the family: U4 small nuclear RNA (U4 snRNA) is a component of the major U2-dependent spliceosome. The structure of U4 snRNA from yeast and human has been reported.
Source: RNAcentral
AGCUUUGCGCAGUGGCAGUAUCGUAGCCAAUGAGGUUUAUCCGAGGCGCGAUUAUUGCUAAAAAAAAAAAAAAAAAUCAACAACAACAAAGGCCCUUAAAGCUGGGCUUUUCAAAGGGCACUGAAGUCC